UUCCGGUUGAUCCUGCCGGAGGUCACUGCUAUUGGGAUUCGACUAAGCCAUGCGAGUCGAGAGGGUUCGGCUCUCGGCUGACGGCUCAGUAACACGUGGAUAAUCUGCCCUAAGGUGGAGGAUACCCUCGGGAAACUGAGAAUAAUACUCCAUAGGUCUAGGAGGCUGGAAUGCAUCUAGGCUUAAAACUCCGGUGCCUUAGGAUGAGUCCGCGGACUAUCAGGUUGUAGUCAGGGUAAUGACCUGACUAGCCUUCGACGGAUACGGGUUGUGAGAGCAAUAACCCGGAGACGAUAUCUGAGACACGAUAUCGGGCCCUACGGGGCGCAGCAGGCGCGAAACCUUCACACUGUGCGAGAGCACGAUGAGGGAAUCCCAAGUGCUGGCACGUAAGUGUCAGCUGUUUCUUUGUCUAAAAAACAGAGAGAGUAAGGGCUGGGUAAGACGGGUGCCAGCCGCCGCGGUAAUACCUGCAGCUCAAGUGGUGACCGCUAUUAUUGGGCCUAAAACGUCCGUAGCCCGUUUUGGUAAAUGCCUGGGUAAAUCGUGUGGCUUAACCAUACGAAUGCCGGGUAGACUGCCAGGCUUGAGAUCGGGAGAAGUCAGAGGUACUCCUGGGGUAGAGGUGAAAUUCUGUAAUCCUAGGGGGACCACCAGUGGCGAAGGCGUCUGACUAGAACGGGUCUGACGGUGAGGGACGAGGCCCUGGGGCGCAAACCGGAUUAGAUACCCGGGUAGUCCAGGGUGUAAACGCUGCUCGCUUGAUGUUAGCUAGGCUCCGAGCCUCGCUAGUGUCGGAGAGAAGUUGUUAAGCGAGCUGCCUGGGAAGUACGGUCGCAAGACUGAAACUUAAAGGAAUUGGCGGGGGAGCACAGCAACGGGUGGAGCGUGCGGUUUAAUUGGAUUCAACGCCGGGAAUCGAAUU
RNAcentral lists this ribosomal RNA (925 nucleotides) under uncultured Thermoplasmatales archaeon. RNAcentral describes it as "bacterial SSU rRNA". It matches the Rfam family "Archaeal small subunit ribosomal RNA", at positions 1 to 931 of the family's 1478-position model. The record is from RNAcentral. Lineage: Archaea; Methanobacteriati; Thermoplasmatota; Thermoplasmata; Thermoplasmatales.